UGGCUGAAACUGGCAGCUAAAAGGAAGACCAAGCAGACACCCAGAUGAGGGAACAGCUGCCGCUGUACACAUGGUUAUUUUCCAGAAAGAAACUUUCUGUUAGCACUGAAGUGGAAAACCAGUGUUGCUUGCUUAAACAGAAGGGACACCGAGGAUCCAUGUUUCUGGAGGAAGGACGCAAAGAAAGUAAAUCGAAUCCAGGAGCCUAGGAAGCAGUGCCACCUAGGAAGGAAAAGGGUUGAGAACAUCACUCUGAAAUGACUCCGGUUUAGCACAUUGAUUGUCCAGUAGGAAAGGCCUGCAAGCAAGCCGACCCAUCUGUCCAAGCCUGUGCUGUCUCGUCUUCACAGCAGGGCGGCACCAGCUCGCCGCAGCGUGCGCUUUGGCUGUGGUCGUGCUCAGGGUGCAGUCGCACCAUGCCAGGUUACAAUCAGCACACGGACGGCGGCACGUAGGCGGUGGGGUGCUGGAUGACAGGAGGAGCUUCUUUUCUGUAAAAUGGGACCAAUACCUACUGUACCCAGCAGAAUCUCAGGAAGAUAAGAUGAAUGGUGUUCGCAAUGACAAUGUGAGUAUCAUUCACCAUAGCCAGGAUUUAGAAAUGACCUAUGGGGCUUCCCUGGUGGCUCAGCUGGUAAAGAAU
Long non-coding RNA from Capra hircus (goat), 643 nucleotides. RefSeq lists it as uncharacterized. The record is from RefSeq and is a predicted model, not a curated record. The transcript has 5 exons. NCBI's taxonomy places the organism in Eukaryota, Metazoa, Chordata, Mammalia, Artiodactyla, Bovidae.